Triticum dicoccoides is the source of this 467-nucleotide long non-coding RNA. RefSeq lists it as uncharacterized. Lineage: Eukaryota; Viridiplantae; Streptophyta; Magnoliopsida; Poales; Poaceae. The transcript has 3 exons. The record is from RefSeq and is a predicted model, not a curated record.
CACCUUUGUGUGUUUUUUCAGAUCGUCUUACACUUCAAGCACCAAAUUGACACAGCGGCUUCUGCUGCUGGUGCUAGUGUGGAUGUUUAGCAAGUUCAACUACCAGUCUACGCCGAGUUCAGGAUGCAUAAAAAAAAUCGAAGGCAGCAACUCAAAAAUAGAUGAAUGUUGGAAGGAAGAUGUAUAAGGCUGAGAGGAAAUGGCAUCUUGAGUUCAACAAUUGGUGGUUCUUCAGGUCACUUUAGCGUGCAUUUUCAGUACAACUUCUAGGCGAGGAGGACGACAGUGACGACUCCUUCAGAUUUUUUCUGUGUUGCUACAUCGCCGGUGCAAAUUGUGGAGAAGACGCGGUCCUAGGUGUGUGCCUGGUUGUGUGUGUGCAUGCUAAUUGCCGGCUGUGUGUGUGCAGGGUACAUCAAGUCGGCAGCCAGUGUACUAGGAAGUAGUGAGACGGAGGGAUGAAACAG